UUCCCCUCACAUUUUAUAGAUGAGAAAACUGAGGUCUGGGGAGAUUGUGAAUUACCUGUGGUCCAAGGGCAGUCUUCUUCACAAAGUGCGCAGCCUGGCAAUCAGCACAAUGCCUUGCACAAAAUUGGUGUCAGGAAGUUUCUGUGAAGAAGACAGGAUUUCCAAAUUUGUUUGGAAAAUGGCAUAAAGUUUACCUCUGAAGUUUACCUUCAAAACGUCUUCAAGAAAAUCAUCUCAGCAGCUGCUCUACGACAAACAUGGCCCAACAAAACUGCCACCAUCACAGGAUGAAUCUAAAGGACUUAACUGCCUGUGAGUAAUUUACAAAAAGUACUUGGAAUUUGGUAUGUGAUUAGAAAGAACAGCCACAGUGGAACACCCCUGCAUUUCUAGUCAUUUUUGAGACCAUAUCUACCUGGUUGGUGUUUGAAGGCAAAAUAAUUCUUUCUGCUUGAGAAAAAUGUUUGAUUCUGUUCCUCCACAUGCAUUUAUUUGGGAGAGUUAAAAACAAAUCCAGAUACAGUUGCUGUUUUGAUUCUACUCACCCUCUCCCUCCCCUGCCACCCUCCACCAAAACCUUCACUUUGUCUGGUUUGAUUUUUCAGACCACACACACAGAGGACCGAAUGUUUUAUAGGUGAUCAGAGUCUUAUCAGCUCUGUAGUUGGCAGAAGACUUGAUCUUUGACCACUUGCCUCUUCAUGGUAUUGCUCUGUGGGAAGAGGUGCCCCCCUCCUUAAUA
Kogia breviceps (pygmy sperm whale) is the source of this 742-nucleotide non-coding RNA. The record is from RefSeq and is a predicted model, not a curated record. Lineage: Eukaryota; Metazoa; Chordata; Mammalia; Artiodactyla; Physeteridae.